Mastomys coucha (southern multimammate mouse) is the source of this 556-nucleotide long non-coding RNA. RefSeq lists it as uncharacterized. The transcript is spliced from 2 exons. NCBI's taxonomy places the organism in Eukaryota, Metazoa, Chordata, Mammalia, Rodentia, Muridae. The record is from RefSeq and is a predicted model, not a curated record.
CCCUCCAGUCAUCACACCAGCUCUCGCCUCUCAGAGCCUGCCAAGGGUCUGAGAGGCUCUGCUCUCUUUUCUUUUGGCACCUCAAGGAUGUGGGUGCUGGCCCUGCUCUUUCUUCACAGCCAUGCCUCAUGGUCUCCUAACUGGCUCUUUCUGUUGAUGGGUGUUCCCCGAGUCCCCGAGGACAGGUUUGCUAAAGGACAGCUUUUGUUGACCAGGAUGCUCCUCAUUGCCUAGAGUUUGCAGCCUGCCCACUUCAGCCAAAUGACUUUGGGCCUUCCCUCAAGGGAAAACACCCAGGCAGGACUUCCAGAGCUCAGCUUCACCUUCCUACCUGCCUGCCCGUUGCUUCUGGGCACUUAGCCCAGAAGGCACAUACUAUCUACACACCGACUGAACAAAAUACACAAACGAAUGAACUAAUGUGCUCUCCCGGGGCCCCAGCUUCCACAGAUGAACACCAAGACAACAUCAUGCUGUUUCUCUGGCACUAAAGCACCAUCCUCACAUCCAAAGAGGCCUGGAGCCUAAGGCACUAAAGAAUAAAUGACAGAGAGGA